RNAcentral lists this ribosomal RNA (575 nucleotides) under Nitzschia leucosigma. RNAcentral describes it as "eukaryotic LSU rRNA". It matches the Rfam family "Eukaryotic large subunit ribosomal RNA", at positions 364 to 1006 of the family's 3401-position model. The record is from RNAcentral. Lineage: Eukaryota; Bacillariophyta; Bacillariophyceae; Bacillariales; Bacillariaceae.
AUGCAAAGAACUUUGAAAAGAGAGUUAAAGAGUACCUGAAAUUGCUGAAAGGGAAGCGAAGGAAACCAGUGUUGGGUUGGUCAUAUUUCCCAGUCUGCUUGCAGUUUGGGCGCUGUGUCCGUCCUGAGUUGUUCUUGGUUGUCGCUGGUGGAAGGGCGUGCGCAGAGUUGAUGCGACAUUGCCAGCACGAGCGUUGACUGAGGAGGACGAAAUGGUUUUCUUUACCCCGUCUUGAAACACGGACCAAGGAGUCUAACAUAUGUGCGAGUACAGGGGUGGCAAACCCCCGUGCGCAAUGAAAGUGACAGUGGUUGGAUAUUUGCACAAUCCGCCGGCCUCAAUCCCUCGGGAGAACGGUCUGAGUGUGAGCAUACAUGUUGGGACCCGAAAGAUGGUGAACUAUGCCUGAAUAGGGUGAAGCCAGGGGAAACUCUGGUGGAGGCUCGUAGCGAUUCUGACGUGCAAAUCGAUCGUCAAAUUUGGGUAUAGGGGCGAAAGACUAAUCGAACCAUCUAGUAGCUGGUUCCCUCCGAAAUUUCCCUCAGGAUAGCUGCGAUCGGAGUUCAAUUUUAUCA